Molecule: ribosomal RNA, 353 nt
Filed under: Staphylococcus epidermidis NIH04008
Lineage: Bacteria; Bacillati; Bacillota; Bacilli; Caryophanales; Staphylococcaceae
Description: bacterial SSU rRNA
Rfam family: Bacterial small subunit ribosomal RNA
Source: RNAcentral
UUUUAUGGAGAGUUUGAUCCUGGCUCAGGAUGAACGCUGGCGGCGUGCCUAAUACAUGCAAGUCGAGCGAACAGACGAGGAGCUUGCUCCUCUGACGUUAGCGGCGGACGGGUGAGUAACACGUGGAUAACCUACCUAUAAGACUGGGAUAACUUCGGGAAACCGGAGCUAAUACCGGAUAAUAUAUUGAACCGCAUGGUUCAAUAGUGAAAGACGGUUUUGCUGUCACUUAUAGAUGGAUCCGCGCCGCAUUAGCUAGUUGGUAAGGUAACGGCUUACCAAGGCAACGAUGCGUAGCCGACCUGAGAGGGUGAUCGGCCACACUGGAACUGAGACACGGUCCAGACUCCUAC